AAUAAGCAAAAAAGGUAUUGUUUUCGCUUUGCCACGACUGUUAGGAAUGGGGAAAAACCGGGCACUACAAGGCUGAGAUUUGUUGCCGUCUUUCGCACACAAAUUGCAUAAGAUUAAACCCAAUAAGAAUAUUGUCGCCAAAACCAUGUGUUGGCCUUUGCAGAUAUCAACGUGGAAGGGACACACAGGAAUUGACUUAUGGGUGUCUGAUAUUUCUUUAUUGGAACAAGCUUAGCAUUUCACUUGUGGGUAUCUGUGUUUUCUCUAAGGAAAAAAUUGCAUCUUAUCGUUCGUGAAACUCACAUGAA
Molecule: long non-coding RNA, 308 nt
Filed under: Physcomitrium patens
Lineage: Eukaryota; Viridiplantae; Streptophyta; Bryopsida; Funariales; Funariaceae
Description: long non-coding RNA (PPAT_LNC013224)
Source: RNAcentral